UCCAUUGAUUUGUCUAAAGCAACAACCUGCGCCGCUUCGAACGCCACUUCUGUGUCUUGCAACCGUCUUCAUCGCCUUACGCAGGCAGCUAACGAGAUGGCAGAGAACAAAGUUGCAGAAAUGACAAAGACUUUUGACAAAGCUACGGAAAUGCUGAAUGCUUUAAAUCAAACACUACAAUUCGUUUACGAGUAUAAAGCGAUGCUUGCCGGAAUUUAAAUUUUUUUGAAAAUCAAACACCUAGAUCUUAGAUCUGAUGAAUCUAAACAAAGUAGAUAGAGAAGUUCAGCAGAUGAAAAUGAUGGACGAAGAAGUUAGAUAAAAUACCACAAAAUGCUGGCAUUAGAACCCGAGCCGAAAGACUUAGACAACGCUAGAAAACAAUUCAAAUUUGGAUGACCAACAUCAGCAGCAUCAAACUAUGCUCGAUUCCCAGCAUAUUUUUUUUUUGCCCAGCGAACAACUAGCUACAUUCAAAGGAAUAAUAUAAAUAAUUAUCAAAUAAAUUAGCUUAAUCAAGGAGGAGCAUAUAACAAGACAUCAGGAUUAUUUACUGUGCCAGUAAAUGGUUUAUAUUACUUCUUCUUUGCUGCAUUAAAAACAAAGCAGGGUCUUUCUGGAACGAGCCGUUUAACAGUUCAAAUCGCUCGAACAAGUCCAUCCUUUCGGAGAUUGGCAAAAGGUCAUAUAGACUCAGGUGAUUGGAAUGGAUGGUAUUCAGCGCAA
Molecule: long non-coding RNA, 726 nt
Organism: Daphnia carinata
Lineage: Eukaryota; Metazoa; Arthropoda; Branchiopoda; Diplostraca; Daphniidae
Exons: 3
Source: RefSeq, a predicted model, not a curated record